AUGGUAGGACUGGACUGGCAAUCUGGCAUACUGGGCCCAGUGGGCUGAAACAUUUGUGGGCUUGAUGGGUUGAUGCACCAGCUCUGUGAGCACUGGCAGCAUCCCAUUUGUUCAUUUUCAUGAGUUACACUAGAUUGCCCGAUCAUCUUAACACAGCCGGCCCAUCCCCUACCUUCCCUGUGUGCUCAUGUGCCUCAUGUAGAACAGAAGUGGGUAAAUCAGAUGGACAACAAAAGGGAAAAGGUGGAACUGACAAACUAAGAGAGAAAAAGAAAAAAGAAAGUAGAAACAGAUGUGGCAAAAUGUAUCAAAUUAACUGCACUGUCAGCAGUAGUACCAUCACCCUCUGCUUGCCCACCACCACUAUAUCUGGUUGGUUAGUGUUAGGGUUCAAUGUUGAGAGAAGAAUCCAUAAAAACCACAGAUCCAGGCGUGUGCAAUUUAGACGGCAUUUUAAUGAACACAUGUGUGAGUUCAACAACCCAAUCAGUGUUGAACUGAACUUACAAUCAUGAGACAAGGUUCUAUAUGGGUACAAUAACAAAUCCCCCUCUUUUACAAAAAUAGACAAUAGUACAGCUUACGUCAAUCCAAACCACAAAAUGUUCCCUGACCUUUAACAUUGCUCUAAAAAACAUUGUCUUCGGGUCGGUGCUUCCCCUCUUCGCUGUCGCUCGUCUGGUGCACUUCCUCUAAGUACGUCGGCACACUUCUGCAUUUCUGUGUGUAUGUGUCUGCAGUGUAUGCUACGUACGUGUCAUGACCUCUCACUAUUUGUCUGUGUGUACGUGCAGAGUUUGCAUCUGCUUUCUGAACCUUAGUUGACCUCAACUUAAGCAACCAACCAGGCUAAGGCCAUCCUGUGUGUAAUGAUCUUGACUUAUAUGUGAAAUAUAUAAACAACUGUUUCAAUCUACCACAACUGCUUAAGGCUUAAUCCGCAAUAAAUGCAUACUAAACACCCUUGCACUUAAACUUCUGGCUUCAGUUUCACUUCUGCAAAACAUGCUCUGCAGACGCGUUUUGUUUCCUGUCUCAUUUUGGCACAGAGAGUAUUGUCCUGUCUCUGCCCUCUACACAGAGAGAUCAUAAAAGCAUUAAUAACAUUUAAAUUAUAGAUUCAACAGAACCAUUUAAAAUGGUUCUUCUUUGGACCUGUAAUAAAGGCUAUAACCAUAUAUUUGAACAUCUGAAUGCAUCUAACUGCAACCUCACUAUUAAUACUGAAAUGUUAAUGAUGAUUAUAAAAAUAGCAGCAACUAAUAGCAGGACAAUAUUU
Molecule: long non-coding RNA, 1279 nt
Organism: Oreochromis aureus
Lineage: Eukaryota; Metazoa; Chordata; Actinopteri; Cichliformes; Cichlidae
Source: Ensembl